This 236-nucleotide ribosomal RNA is filed under the name uncultured bacterium. RNAcentral's name for it is "partial 16S ribosomal RNA". It matches the Rfam family "Bacterial small subunit ribosomal RNA", at positions 524 to 760 of the family's 1533-position model. The record is from RNAcentral.
UACGUAGGGGCCUAGCGUUGUCCGGAAUUAUUGGGCGUAAAGAGCUCGUAGGCGGUUCGGCAAGUCGGAUGUGAAAUCUCCACGCUUAACGUGGAGGGCCAUUCGAAACUGCUGUGACUCGAGUCCGGUAGGGGAGUGUGGAAUUCCCGGUGUAGCGGUGAAAUGCGCAGAUAUCGGGAGAACACCAGUAGCGAAAGCGGCACUCUGGGCCGGUACUGACGCUGAGGAGCGAAAGC